Molecule: ribosomal RNA, 497 nt
Filed under: uncultured bacterium
Lineage: Bacteria
Description: partial 16S ribosomal RNA
Rfam family: Bacterial small subunit ribosomal RNA
Source: RNAcentral
GAUGAACGCUGGCGGCGUGCCUAAUACAUGCAAGUCGAGCGAACGGACGAGAAGCUUGCUUCUCUGAUGUUAGCGGCGGACGGGUGAGUAACACGUGGAUAACCUACCUAUAAGACUGGGAUAACUUCGGGAAACCGGAGCUAAUACCGGAUAAUAUUUUGAACCGCAUGGUUCAAAAGUGAAAGAAGGUCUUGCUGUCACUUAUAGAUGGAUCCGCGCUGCAUUAGCUAGUUGGUAAGGUAACGGCUUACCAAGGCAACGAUGCAUAGCCGACCUGAGAGGGUGAUCGGCCACCCUGGAACUGAGACACGGUCGAGACUCCGACGGUAGGCAGCAGUAGGGAAUCUUCCGCAAUGGGCGAAAGCCUGACGGAGCAACGCGGCGUGAGUGAUGAUGGUCUUCGGAUCGUAAAACUCUGUAAGUAGUGAAGAACAUAUGUGUAAGUAACUGUGCACAUCUUGACGGUACCUAAUCAGAAAGCCACGGCUAACUACGUG